UAUAAUAUACGAGAGACCAGAUACACGUCCACUGCUUCUCAGUGAACCUGUAUCCCUGUAGUGCCUGUCUCGCAGCCAGCUGCUCCCGCAAACUCGCAAAAGUGUGACUCGAGAGUAGGGAUUGAGCGUGCAAAACACCUUGGAGCCGUCUCAGUUACGCCGGUGGGUAACACACAGUAUCGAACAAGCUGAGUCAACGCGUUCAUCGUUCGUUCAACGAACAUACUUCUCUGCAUACACGCAGGAGGCGUGAAAGUAGCGGUGAAUUGAUUAAACUUGCACGGUUUAAUGAAUCGUUGCCAUCUUGACGAUCAAUUUGCGAACGAGGAUUCACCUUCGUCUAGGUUUACCUUGCUCGCUUCCUGACUCGGUAGUCACAUCAAAAUUGCAGUCGUUGUUGCUGUACGAGCGAACACAGACAUGCACGAUCAUGAGCAGGUAUAUUUGAAGUACGCAAGGCGCAGCCGAUAGCCCAAGGGGCAGUUUUGUCCUCGAAUAACGUGCCGUCCCUCCCAGGUAGACGCUCACCUCGAUAUUCCUGGAGUACACCACGUGUAUUGUGUAUGUAGGACGACUCGAUCGGAUU
This is a long non-coding RNA of Neodiprion fabricii, 586 nucleotides long. RefSeq lists it as uncharacterized. The transcript is spliced from 3 exons. The record is from RefSeq and is a predicted model, not a curated record. Lineage: Eukaryota; Metazoa; Arthropoda; Insecta; Hymenoptera; Diprionidae.